UAUGUUAUAAUAUUCACUCAUAUAAAUUCCAACUUCAAAGAUCAAUAUUUUGAAUUAUCACUUCUUCUUGAUUUCACCUCACAAGCAUAAGUUCCAAUAUUUAGAAUCUACCUUAUGAAUUGACUUAAACAAAGACAUUUAAUUUACUUAUGUUUUAUUUAAAGAAGCAAGCUCAAAGUACUCUCAAUCCACCUUAUCAAGGUCA
RNAcentral lists this long non-coding RNA (205 nucleotides) under Physcomitrium patens. RNAcentral's name for it is "long non-coding RNA (PPAT_LNC013088)". The record is from RNAcentral. Lineage: Eukaryota; Viridiplantae; Streptophyta; Bryopsida; Funariales; Funariaceae.